GCGACAGGCCUAACACAUGCAAGUCGAGGGGUAGCAGGAUGUAGCAAUACAUUGCUGACGACCGGCGCACGGGUGAGUAACACGUAUGCAACCUACCUUCUACAGGGGAAUAGCCCGGAGAAAUUCGGAUUAAUACCCCAUAACGCAGGGAUACCGCAUGGUAAUAUUUGCUAAAGAUUAAUCGGUAGAAGAUGGGCAUGCGUUCCAUUAGCCAGUUGGUGAGGUAACGGCUCACCAAAGCUACGAUGGAUAGGGGAACUGAGAGGUUUAUCCCCCACACUGGAACUGAGACACGGUCCAGACUCCUACGGGAGGCAGCAGUGAGGAAUAUUGGUCAAUGGACGAGAGUCUGAACCAGCCAAGUCGCGUGAAGGAUGACGGCCCUACGGGUUGUAAACUUCUUUUGUAUGGGAGUAAAAAGAUGGACGUGUCCAUUAUUGCAAGUACCAUACGAAUAAGCAUCGGCUAACUCCGUGCCAGCAGCCGCGGUAAUACGGAGGAUGCGAGCAUUCGAUGAUACGCGAGGAACCUUACCCGGGCUUGAAAUGCAUCUGACCGCUUAAGAAAUUAGGCUUCUAGCAAUAGCAGAUGUGUAGGUGCUGCAUGGUUGUCGUCAGCUCGUGCCGUGAGGUGUCGGCUUAAGUGCCAUAACGAGCGCAACCCACAUUGUUAGUUACUAACAGGUCAAGCUGAGGACUCUGACAAGACUGCCAGCGUAAGCUGUGAGGAAGGUGUGGAUGACGUCAAAUCAGCACGGCCCUUACGUCCGGGGCGACACACGUGUUACAAUGGAUGGUACAGAGGGUCGCUACCUAGUGAUAGGAUGCCAAUCUCGAAAGCCAUUCCCAGUUCGGAUUGGAGUCUGCAACUCGACUCUAUGAAGCUGGAUUCGCUAGUAAUCGCACAUCAGCCAUGGCGCGGUGAAUACGUUCCCGGGCCUUGUACACACCGCCCGUCAAGCCAUGGAAGCUGGGGGUACCUGAAGUACGUAACCGUCAAGGAGCGUCCUA
Molecule: ribosomal RNA, 1010 nt
Filed under: uncultured Eubacterium sp.
Lineage: Bacteria; Bacillati; Bacillota; Clostridia; Eubacteriales; Eubacteriaceae
Description: bacterial SSU rRNA
Rfam family: Bacterial small subunit ribosomal RNA
Source: RNAcentral